GGCAGGCUUAACACAUUGCAAGUCGAGGGGUAGACAUGGUGCUUGCACAGAUGGACGACCGGCGCACGGGUGCGUGAACGCGUGAUGAGAAUCUACCUUUUACAGGGGGAUGAGCCUUUAGAAAUGAAGAUUAAUAUGCCCAUAGUAUUGAGACUUGGCAGUCAAGACUUAAUUAAAGAUUUAUCGGUAAAAGAUGACUAUGCGUCCUAUUAGCUAGAUGGUAAGGUAACGGCUUACCAUGGCUACGAUAGGUAGGGGUCCUGAGAGGGAGAUCCCCCACACUGGUACUGAGACACGGACCAGACUCCUACGGGAGGCAGCAGUGAGGAAUAUUGGGCAAUGGAGGAAACUCUGACCCAGCCAUGCCGCGUGCAGGAAGACUGCCCUAUGGGUUGUAAACUGCUUUUAUACAGGAAGAAACACUGGUAUGUAUACCAGCUUGACGGUACUGUAAGAAUAAGGACCGGCUAACUCCGUGCCAGCAGCCGCGGUAAUACGGAGGGUCCGAGCGUUAUCCGGAAUCAUUGGGUUUAAAGGGUCCGCAGGCGGUCAAUUAAGUCAGAGGUGAAAUCCCAUAGCUUAACUAUGGAACUGCCUUUGAUACUGGUUGACUUGAGUCAUAUGGAAGUAGAUAGAAUGUGUAGUGUAGCGGUGAAAUGCAUAGAUAUUACACAGAAUACCGAUUGCGAAGGCAGUCUACUACGUAUGUACUGACGCUCAUGGACGAAAGCGUGGGGAGCGAACAGGAAUUAGAUACCCUGGUAGUUCACGCCGUUAAACGAUGGAAUACUAGUUUGUGGGGCAUAAGCCUCAGUGACCUAAGCGAAGGUGAUUAAGUAUUUCCACCCUGGGGAAGU
This 857-nucleotide ribosomal RNA is filed under the name Polaribacter sp. D58-G08. RNAcentral describes it as "bacterial SSU rRNA". It matches the Rfam family "Bacterial small subunit ribosomal RNA", at positions 41 to 873 of the family's 1533-position model. The record is from RNAcentral. Lineage: Bacteria; Pseudomonadati; Bacteroidota; Flavobacteriia; Flavobacteriales; Flavobacteriaceae.